GAUGAAGAACGUAGCGAAAUGCGAUACGUAGUGUGAAUUGCAGAAUUCAGUGAAUCAUCGAAUCUUUGAACGCACAUUGCACCUCUCGGCAUUCCGGGAGGUAUGCCUGUUCGAGCGUCAUUUGUACCCUCAAGCUCUGCUUGGUGUUGGGUGUUUGUUCCGCCUCUGUGUGUGAACUCGCCUCAAAACAAUUGGCAGCCGGCGUACUUGUUUCGGAGCGCAGCACAUUUUGCGAUCCAGAUCAACGUACAGCGGCAUCCAAGAAGCCUUAUUUAACGCUCUUGACCUCGGAUCAGGUAGGGAUACCCGCUGAACUUAAGCAUAUCAAUAAGCGGAGGA
Molecule: unclassified non-coding RNA, 339 nt
Filed under: soil metagenome
Description: partial contains 5.8S ribosomal RNA, internal transcribed spacer 2, and large subunit ribosomal RNA
Rfam family: 5.8S ribosomal RNA (bases 1-120)
Source: RNAcentral